Molecule: ribosomal RNA, 274 nt
Filed under: uncultured bacterium
Lineage: Bacteria
Description: partial 16S ribosomal RNA
Rfam family: Bacterial small subunit ribosomal RNA
Source: RNAcentral
AUACGGAGGGUGCAAGCGUUGUCCGGAUUUAUUGGGUUUAAAGGGUGUGUAGGCGGUGUAUUAAGUCAGUGGUGGAAGCCUGCGGCUCAACCGUAGAACUGCCAUUGAUACUGACACACUUGAGUAUGGACGAGGUAGGCGGAAUUUAUGGUGUAGCGGUGAAAUGCAUAGAUACCAUAAAGAACACCGAUAGCGAAGGCAGCUUACUAGGCCAUAACUGACGCUGAGGCACGAAAGCGUGGGGAGCGAACAGGAUUAGAAACCCCGGUAGUCC